Molecule: ribosomal RNA, 484 nt
Filed under: uncultured bacterium
Lineage: Bacteria
Description: partial 16S ribosomal RNA
Rfam family: Bacterial small subunit ribosomal RNA
Source: RNAcentral
AUUGAACGCUGGCGGCAGGCCUAACACAUGCAAGUCGAGCGGAUGAAGGGAGCUUGCUCCUGGAUUCAGCGGCGGACGGGUGAGUAAUGCCUAGGAAUCUGCCUGGUAGUGGGGGAUAACGUCCGGAAACGGGCGCUAAUACCGCAUACGUCCUGAGGGAGAAAGUGGGGGAUCUUCGGACCUCACGCUAUCAGAUGAGCCUAGGUCGGAUUAGCUAGUUGGUGGGGUAAAGGCCUACCGAGGCGACGAUCCGUAACUGGUCUGAGAGGAUGAUCAGUCACACUGGAACUGAGACACGGUCCAGACUCCUACGGGAGGCAGCAGUGGGGAAUAUUGGACAAUGGGCGAAGGCCUGAUCCAGCCAUGCCGCGUGUGUGAAGAAGGUCUUCGGAUUGUAAAGCACUUUAAGUUGGGAGGAAGGGCAGUAAGUUAAUACCUUGCUGUUUUGACGUUACCAACAGAAUAAGCACCGGCUAACUUCGUG